This 43-nucleotide transfer RNA is filed under the name Muntiacus atherodes (Bornean yellow muntjac). RNAcentral describes it as "partial tRNA-Val". Lineage: Eukaryota; Metazoa; Chordata; Mammalia; Artiodactyla; Cervidae. The record is from RNAcentral.
CAAGAUAUAGCUUAAAUAAAGCACCUAGUUUACACCUAGAAGA